Molecule: microRNA precursor, 92 nt
Organism: Colobus angolensis palliatus
Lineage: Eukaryota; Metazoa; Chordata; Mammalia; Primates; Cercopithecidae
Source: Ensembl
GAGAUGGGUGGAUCACUUGAGUCUGGGUGGUUGAGGCAGCAAUGAGCUGUGAUCAUACCACUGCACUCCAGCCUGGGUGACAGAGCAAGACC